CCGCCCGUCACACCAUGGGAGUCGUUUGCUCCAGAAGUACCUGAGCCAACUCGCCAACGAAAGAAGGGGAGAGGCAGGGUCCCAAGGAGUGAACGGUAACUGGGGUG
Molecule: ribosomal RNA, 107 nt
Filed under: uncultured bacterium
Lineage: Bacteria
Description: partial 16S ribosomal RNA
Source: RNAcentral